UGGGAAUUUCAAUGACCAUGAGUAUCCAGUGAAAAUUGUUUACACACAUAUAUAUAGGCAGGCCCAUAUAUAACUAUAUAAAACUUUUCUCGAGUAAUAAUAAGUAAAAUAAAAUAUGCAUGCACUUAAUAACUAUAUAACUCACUCGAGUUGAAGGGGAAGAGUAUUUUUUGUUUUUCUUUUUGGUUCACAAAGAACCUCAUAAGAUUGGUGCAAACUUCUUUCUCAUGAGAUGCUGUCCACACUGCCUGCGGAGCCUUGAAAACAAUAUAAGGGUCAACGAACCCAAUACUAUUGUCAUUUCUGAUUCUGAGUUCUCUCAUUUGGUGUCUGCAUAUAUACAUACAAAUCCUAAGUGUGUA
Molecule: long non-coding RNA, 362 nt
Filed under: Sorghum bicolor (sorghum)
Lineage: Eukaryota; Viridiplantae; Streptophyta; Magnoliopsida; Poales; Poaceae
Description: long non-coding RNA (SBIC_LNC003339)
Source: RNAcentral